GAUGAAGAACGUAGCGAAAUGCGAUAAGUAAUGUGAAUUGCAGAAUUCAGUGAAUCAUCGAAUCUUUGAACGCAUCUUGCGCUCCUUGGUAUUCCUUGGAGCAUGCCUGUUUGAGUAUCAUGAGCAAAUCUCAAAGUCAAUUCCUUUUGUUAAUGCAAUUGGUUUUGCUUUGGACUUGGAGGUCUUGCAGAUUUCACAGUCUGCUCCUCUUAAAUGCAUUAGCUGGAUCUCAGUAAUUAUGCUUGGUUCCACUCGGCGUGAUAAGUAUCACUCGCUGAGGACACUGUUAAAAAGGUGGCCAGGAAAAUACUGAUUGAACCGCUUCUAACGGUCUAUUAAGUUAGACAAUUGACCCUUAAGUUUGAUCUCAAAUCAGGUAGGACUACCCGCUGAACUUAAGCAUAUCAAUAAGCGGAGGA
This 419-nucleotide unclassified non-coding RNA is filed under the name soil metagenome. RNAcentral's name for it is "partial contains 5.8S ribosomal RNA, internal transcribed spacer 2, and large subunit ribosomal RNA". The stretch from base 1 to 120 matches the Rfam family "5.8S ribosomal RNA", at positions 35 to 154 of the family's 154-position model. The record is from RNAcentral.